UACGUAGGGGGCUAGCGUUGUCCGGAAUCAUUGGGCGUAAAGAGCGCGUAGGCGGCCCUGUAAGUCCGCUGUGAAAGUCAAGGGCUCAACCCUUGAAUGCCGGUGGAUACUGCAGGGCUAGAGUCCGGAAGAGGCGAGUGGAAUUCCUGGUGUAGCGGUGAAAUGCGUAGAUAUCGGGAGGAACACCAGUGGCGAAGGCGACUACCUGGCCUGUUUCUUGACGCUGAGGCGCGAAAGCUAGGGGAGCAAACGGG
RNAcentral lists this ribosomal RNA (254 nucleotides) under uncultured bacterium. RNAcentral's name for it is "partial 16S ribosomal RNA". It matches the Rfam family "Bacterial small subunit ribosomal RNA", at positions 524 to 776 of the family's 1533-position model. The record is from RNAcentral.